RNAcentral lists this ribosomal RNA (566 nucleotides) under uncultured bacterium. Its description in RNAcentral is "bacterial SSU rRNA". It matches the Rfam family "Bacterial small subunit ribosomal RNA", at positions 338 to 916 of the family's 1533-position model. The record is from RNAcentral.
CCUACGGGAGGCAGCAGUGGGGAAUAUUGCACAAUGGGCGAAAGCCUGAUGCAGCAACGCCGCGUGAGGGACGACGGCCUUCGGGUUGUAAACCUCUUUUAGUAGGGAAGAAGCGAAAGUGACGGUACCUGCAGAAAAAGCACCGGCUAACUACGUGCCAGCAGCCGCGGUAAUACGUAGGGUGCAAGCGUUAUCCGGAAUUAUUGGGCGUAAGGAGCUCGUAGGCGGUUUGUCGCGUCUGCUGUGAAAACUGGGGGCUCAACCCCCAGCCUGCAGUGGGUACGGGCAGACUAGAGUGCGGUAGGGGAGAUUGGAAUUCCUGGUGUAGCGGUGGAAUGCGCAGAUAUCAGGAGGAACACCGAUGGCGAAGGCAGAUCUCUGGGCCGUAACUGACGCUGAGGAGCGAAAGCAUGGGGAGCGAACAGGAUUAGAUACCCUGGUAGUCCAUGCCGUAAACGUUGGGAACUAGAUGUAGGGGCCAUUCCACGGUUUCUGUGUCGCAGCUAACGCAUUAAGUUCCCCGCCUGGGGAGUCGGCCGCAAGGCUAAAACUUAAGGAAUUGACGG